GAGUUUGAUCGUGGCUCAGAUUGAACGCUGGCGGCAUGCCUUACACAUGCAAGUCGAACGGCAGCAUGAUCUAGCUCGCUAGAUUGAUGGCGAGUGGCGAACGGGUGAGUAAUACAUCGGAACGUGCCCUGUAGUGGGGGAUAACUAGUCGAAAGAUUAGCUAAUACCGCAUACGACCUGAGGGUGAAAGUGGGGGACCGCAAGGCCUCAUGCUAUAGGAGCGGCCGAUGUCUGAUUAGCUAGUUGGUGGGGUAAAGGCCCACCAAGGCGACGAUCAGUAGCUGGUCUGAGAGGACGAUCAGCCACACUGGGACUGAGACACGGCCCAGACUCCUACGGGAGGCAGCAGUGGGGAAUUUUGGACAAUGGGCGAAAGCCUGAUCCAGCAAUGCCGCGUGUGUGAGAAGG
RNAcentral lists this ribosomal RNA (408 nucleotides) under uncultured microorganism. RNAcentral's name for it is "bacterial SSU rRNA". It matches the Rfam family "Bacterial small subunit ribosomal RNA", at positions 9 to 413 of the family's 1533-position model. The record is from RNAcentral.